RNAcentral lists this ribosomal RNA (98 nucleotides) under uncultured bacterium. Its description in RNAcentral is "partial 16S ribosomal RNA". The record is from RNAcentral.
CGGGUCGUAAAGCUCUGUCAAGUGGGAAGAAUAGCUUGGGGACGAAUAAUCCUCAGGUCCGACGGUACCACUGAAGGAAGCACCGGCUAACUCCGUGC